Molecule: ribosomal RNA, 465 nt
Filed under: uncultured bacterium
Lineage: Bacteria
Description: partial 16S ribosomal RNA
Rfam family: Bacterial small subunit ribosomal RNA
Source: RNAcentral
CCUACGGGAGGCAGCAGUGAGGAAUAUUGGUCAAUGGGCGAAAGCCUGACGCAGCGACGCCGCGUGAGGGAUGAAGGUCUUCGGAUCGUAAACCUCUGUCAGCAGGGAAGAACGGUCACUGUGCUAAUCAGCAGUGAAUUGACGGUACCUGCAAUGGAAUCACCCGAUAACUCCGUGCCAGCAGCAGCGGUAAUACGGGGGAUGCGAGCGUUAAUCGGAAUUACUGGGCGUAAGGCGCUCGUAGGCGGUAGGUCAAGUCAAGGGUGAAAUCCCCGCGCUCAACGUGGGAACUGCCUUUGAAACUGGCAAACUGGAGUGUGUGAGAGGAUAGUGGAAUUCCAGGUGUAGGGGGGAAAUCCGUAGAUAUCUGGAGGAACAUCAGUGGCGAAGGCGACUGUCUGGCACAUAACUGACGCUGAGGAGCGAAAGCGUGGGUAGCAAACAGGAUUAGAUACCCUUGUAGUC